ACCUACGGGGGGCAGCAGUGGGGGAUAUUGCACAAUGGGGGAAACUCUGAUGCAGCGACGCCGCGUGUAGGAAGACGGUCCUCUGGAUUGUAAACUACUGUCCCCAGGGACGAAGAUGACGGUACCUGGGGAGGAAGCUCCGGCUAACUACGUGCCAGCAGCCGCGGUAAUACGUAGGGAGCGAGCGUUAUCCGGAUUUAUUGGGUUUAAAGGGUGCGUAGGCGGUCCGGAAAGUCAGCGGUAAAACCCCGGGGUUCAACCCCGGCGAGCCGUUGAAACUGUCGGACUAGUGACGGCGAGAAGUA
This 305-nucleotide ribosomal RNA is filed under the name uncultured bacterium. Its description in RNAcentral is "bacterial SSU rRNA". It matches the Rfam family "Bacterial small subunit ribosomal RNA", at positions 337 to 659 of the family's 1533-position model. The record is from RNAcentral.